This 468-nucleotide ribosomal RNA is filed under the name uncultured bacterium. RNAcentral describes it as "partial 16S ribosomal RNA". It matches the Rfam family "Bacterial small subunit ribosomal RNA", at positions 28 to 507 of the family's 1533-position model. The record is from RNAcentral.
GACGAACGCUGGCGGCGUGCUUAACACAUGCAAGUCGAACGGAAAGGCCCUGCUUUUGUGGGGUGCUCGAGUGGCGAACGGGUGAGUAACACGUGAGUAACCUGUCCUUGUCUUUGGGAUAACUUUAGGAAACUGGGGCUAUUACCGGAUAGGAGCUUCUGAUGCAUGGUGGGGGUUGGAAAGUUUCGGUGGUUGGGGAUGGUCUCGCGGGUUAUCAGCUUGUUGGUGGGGUAGUGGAUUACCAAGGCUUUGACGGAUAGCCCGCCUGGGAGGGGGGCCGGCCACAUUGGGACUGAGAGACGGCCCAGUCGCCUACGUGAGGCAGCGGGCGAGAAUAUUGCACAAUGGGCGGAAGCCUGAUGCAGCAACGCCGCGUGCGGGAUGACGGCCUUCGAGUUGUAAACCGCUUUCUCCUGUGACGAAGCGUGAGUGACGGUAAUUGGUAAAGAAGCACCGGCUAACUACGUG